CCUGGACUCGCUCAGUGGGUUAAGGAUCCAGGGUUGCCGUGAGCUGUGGUGUAGGUCACAGAUGCCGCUUGUGUGGCCCUAAAAAGACAGGAAAGAAAGACCAACCCAUGUUUUGAAAUUUUAGAAUUUGCGUUUUCUCCAUCAAUUUAUUUUGCACUUGCGCAUUUUGUUUUUACUGAAGACUGGUUGUGCAUGUGUUGGUGAUUUAACAAGAAGGAAAUAUUGUUUUACGCCUUCUAGCAAAGAUUAAAAUAACUAGAUUUCACUUUAUAGAAAAAAGUGUUUUUAAAGAAAAUGGUUAAUUUCUCAUUGAAUUUCCAUGGGCAAGUUAUUGGAAUUCUGUAAGUCUCAGUUUCCUUAUCUGUAAAACAGAGAUAAGAAAACCUACUUUGCGGGGUUGCCAUGACAUGGGGAAGAUGAGAUAGCAAUCGCACAGGUGGGCAGGUGUAGGACUUGGGAUGGACGUGAACUGAGAGAAUUAAUCAAUGACAGAGUAAAUCACUGAAUGCUUUAUGAGAUCCUAUCAUGGAACUUCCAUAUAAUGCUAUAAAAUUGGCAGUAAUCUUGGUACUUUGGUAUCUGGCCCCCAAGAUGAAAGGUCGAUAUGACCUGUUUUCAUGUAAAAAUAGCUAGUUUGUUCUAAAAAGAUGUAAUUCUAAGGCAGAAGGAAUGGUUACAAAAAAACAGAUUUUUUUUUUUUUUUUUUUUUUUUUUUUUUUCCUGUUUAGGGCUGCAGCCACAGCAUAUGGAAAUUUCCAGGCUAGGGGUCGAAUCAGAGCUGCAGCUGCUAGCCAAUGCCCCAGCCACCACAACACCAGAUCCAAUCCACAUCCACGACCUAUGCUUCCUUGACCCACUGAGAAAGGCCAGGGGUGGAACUCGCAUCCUCAGUGGGAACAGUGGGAACGCCAUACAAAGAACCAGAUUUUAAUUUGUACAAAAACAAGAUAUCCUGGGGGAUUUUAUAUUUUUACGGUGCUGUAUAGUUCAUAAAAGACUUCAACGUGCCUCAUCUCUUUAGCGUUUCCAAAAUCACUGCCAGAGAAAAGGCUGGGAAGGGAUCAGUCACUCUGGCUUUACAAAUGGAGAAGUGAAGACUCCCAGAGAGGAAGGAACUCCUCGAUGGCCGAUAGAGGCUUGAAGUAGUCUCAGACCCAGCCUCUUGCACCCAGUUUUGUCUCUGUGGCAUAGGGGACUACAGUUAAAGCUGUUCAAAAGAAGAUCGAACCCUUUGGUGCUUAUUGGUGCAUUUUUCUAAAGUGCCUGCAAGCAUCUGAGUAAUAGUUAAACUAAUGUUUGUUUCCCUUUCAUGAUGACAGUAUAUGAGAUUUUACCAUCGGUACUUAAGGCUCAACAUGCGCUUAAACUCCAGACACACAAAGGGAUGAAGUGGAGGGGGGAGAGGGAGUCAAGUGGGCUAUUCUGCAGGCUGCCUCGGGCUUUCUUUCUGGAUGGACCGCUAACAAGCCUCUCCACUGCAUGGUUCUCUGGCUCAGUUGUACAUUUCAAUGAAGCCUGCCAACUCGCAGCUUUGUGCCUCCCAAAAUUCAACAGGGGAGCGGAUGGAUCUGGCCUGUUUGUGACAGAUUGUGACCCACUUUGAGGAAUCCCUGCUUCUGUUCAGACUCCCCAGGAAAUCUUCCAGCUCUUCCGGGCCAACUGGGCUCUGGGCAGACCUCAGGAAACACAGUCUAAAGCCUCUAGCCAGUCUAAAGCCUGUGCUGGGGAUCCCAUGAAGAAAGAACCUACGAGGCUCCUUGCCUCAAGGCAUACAUUCUUUUUUCCCCCUUUUCCUUUUUUGGCUGCUCUGGGGCAUAUGGAGUUCCUGAGCCAGGGAUCAGAUCUGACCUACACCGAAGCUGCCACAAUCCAGGAUCCUUUAACCCACUGUGCCGGGCUGAGGAUUGAACCUGCGAUAUUGAACCUGCAUCCUGGUGCUGCAGAGAUGCUGCCAAUCCCGUUGCGCCACAGCAGGAACUCCAAGGCGUACUUAUUUCUCCUAUUUGUGCUACCUAAACAACUGGAUCUGAGAAGGAACUGGUUCUCUAAUGCCUUUUCUUGCAGUGAGCUCCCAGCAUGGUUUCACGCUGCCCCUGGAAGCAGUGAGAAAGAAGCAUCAAACAGCCAGCCCGUGCUCCUCGGUGCCUGGGCACCCAGUGUUGCUCCCUCCCUCCCCCCACCUCACUGUGACAACCAAACACAUCUGCCCCCCCCCCCCCUGCCAUUUUGAAAUGCCCGUAUUGCCCUUACAUGAAAAUCACUGAAUUCGUUUGACCAGUAAUUUCCUUGGUAAUAGAUAUUUUGGCAGCAGACAUUUAGAAACAUCUUACCCAAUGACAGGGCAUCUGGCAGACUAUAAACCGCAGGAACAAUUUGUCCCAUGGCCUGUUCUCGUGUGACCCUCAAGCUAGGAAUGGCUUUCGUAUUUUUAAAGAGCUAGGAGGAGGAGGGCAGCCGUAGAGUCUGCAUUUGAUUCACAAAGUCCGUAUUUACUCUCCGGCCCUUUGCAGGGAAUGUUCACAACUCAACAAGCAAUGACCAGGUACCAAGCAUGCUGCCAGGCACCAGUGAUACCGUGAUGGAUAAGGCAUCGUUGUCGAUCUGUGUGGGAGACAAUCCAUGCGCCUUCCUCGCAGGUGCAGUGGGGUCAUACACAUGUUGCUAGGGAAGCACAAAUGAGGGUCGCUCCGGUCAGCCUUGGGGACUUAGAGCAUGCAGAUAGGAGAGCUUCUGGGGAAGGGGGGUGCAGUUAAAGUGAAUCUGGAAAGAGAAGAAGCCAGGAGAAAUUGGGUGGAGGGUGGUGAGGCAGGAAAAGAGCCUAGAGAGAGUCAGAAGGGUGCAAAGCUGUGAGUGCCUGCAAGGCAGCGAAUGCCAAAAGCUGAAGCGGGAGGGGCAACUAGAUGCUUGGGCUUUACCCGGGUUCAGAUCCUGGCUCUGUCACUUAGGAGCUGUGCAGCUUUAAGUAAAGUACUUAACUUUUCUGUGCCUCAACUCCCUCACCUGCGACAUGUGGUUAGGAAGAGUCCCUGUCCCAGAGGGUUGCUGAGAGCAUUAGGUGAGACAGUACAUACAAAGCAGGCAGCAGGGUGCCAGCCCAUGACGAACCCUUGCAAAUGGCGCCAAUCAUUGUUGCUGCCAGGGUCAUGGCUCUUAUGCCCUCAGGGAGAGGAAGGCAUGGAGAAGCUGUGAGCACCUCCUAUGCACCUGCCUCCACAUGCAGCACCAGGAAUACAAUGCUUUUAUGUGUCUUGUGACGCCUGUAUGAGACCUCGACCUUGCAGAAAUCCAAGCAAAAAGGGUUGUGACUGUGGCGUUCCCUGGUGCCAGUUGCAGUGUUCAGGGAAUGCUAACGGUCUAUCCAUCCUUUGCUGAAGGUGCCUAGGAUGGGCUAUAGGCACGAGAUACAUCCAAGAUACACAGAUGGGCUACAGGCACGAGGGUGUACAUCCGAGAGCCCAGGAAGGUAGGAAAGUCAAAAGAAGGGCAGGAGAGUGCUUCCCUCUUUCUCCUAAAAGGAAAAUACCAAGUAUGCUUGAUGGGGGGGAGUCACGGCUCUUUGUCCUCCCAGACCCGCAUGUCAUCCUGGGCAGCUUUUCUUUGCCCCUAUAGUCAGCAACUCUCCGAAGUUUCUUUGGCCUCAUGGACUUUUUCUGUGGGUCUCUGCUUCUUCACACAAAGCAGAAAACCUCUCUCCCUGCAUGUCACUGAACCCAGAGCUUGGAUAAGAGAGGGGAGGCCCUCACCCCUGAGUUGUGCCCACCUGGCUUUCUGCAUCCAGAAGUGGAGUCCACAGUGCCACCCGGGCUUGUGCUGGACAGAGGGGACUCACGUCCGCCCUGCCUUGUGGAGCAUCCCUCUAGCUGCUCUGUGCAGGGGACCUUCUCCAACGUAAACAGAGGCUGCAGAAGAGGCAGGGAGGAAGUGCCAGUCUGCUCGCAGGCCCACAACCCCACCUCCUGCUGACAACGGAGUGAGCUGAGAGGGCGCCUCUCCUGGGCUGCCUUUCCAAGGCUUCUAAGCUGCUUGGUGACCUCCAUGGUCAGCAGCUUCCAGGUGCGGCUCAGCUACGUGGCAUGGGAUCUGCUGCGGGAGUUCUGAGGAUGCGGCGCUGAGGCUGAGGGUGGUGGUGCUGUGGGUGGAGGGUCCCCAGAAUGCCCUUGGCCCACGUUCUCCUGUCCCCACUGCGGGAGCCACCAAGGCUGGCAGCUGGGAGCCUCAGGGCCACCCUAGCACAGCUCCCCUCCGAGCAGGUUGGGCUCUGACUGUGCAAUCCUUCUGGCCCCUUUGAGAAGAAGGCAUUAUCUUUGAUAUUAUCAUACAAUAACAAGACAAUGUCCCUGUCCUCUGUGGCUUUCUGACCGAGCACUCUGCACUCUGGGAAGAAACAUGCUCUUUAUUUUCCCUCCGAAACAUCGAAGCUGACAGCACGGAGACAUGGGGCUGUGGUCAUUUUCAGACCAUUAACCUCUCCCCUCCCCGCCCUCCUCUCCUCAUCAGCCACCCUGUCACCUGCCCCUGGGCUUCUGGCCCUCCCACCCAUCUACCCACCUCUUUAGAGCCCUGGAAAUAUACAGCGCUACGAACUUUGCUCAGAUAUAUCCAUUUAGGAGUUCCCACUGUGGCUCAGUGGUAAUGAACCCCACUAUAGGAUAGGCCAGCAGCUACAGCUCCCAUUCAGCCUUUAGCCUGGGAACUUCCAUUAGCUGUGGGUGCAGCCCUAAAAAGACAAAAACACCCCAAAAAGUAUCCAUGUACUUCUUACAAUAGCCCUAAGAGAUAGGUAUUGUUCUCAUUUCACAGGUGAGAAAACUGAGGCCCAGAGAGGUUAAGGAACUUGCCUGGGGACACACAGUCUGUGAUAGAGGACAGAUUCGAGCCCAGGCUGUCUGACUCCAUUGUUGGUGCUUUUAGCCCCGCGCUAUUCAGCCUCCGGUUCUGGUGCUCUUUCUCUGCGGAUCUUCAUAGAGAAUAAGCCACCACGUGAUACGUGGCAUCCAGGCCAGUGGACACUCUGAAGCCGAGAAGCAUGUGGAUCAGCGCCGACCACCAUCCAUGUGAGAAGAGGAGCCCCCGGGGAGGCUUGAGCCCAUCCAGGUGGACAAAGCUCUCCUUUCUCCCAGGGAUGUUUCCUGGUUGUUGCCAGAGCUUCUCAGGUAACCCCAGUUUGAGUGUCUGAAAUCCCUGUGGGAAGCCCAGCACCUCCAGAGCAAUACCUGGGAUUCUCAGAGCGUCCUAGAACCAGCCUUGGUUUGAGCAGCCGAGCUUUCAGACAUCCAGUUACUGGACACCCGGCCUCUGGGGCCAGCGGUGGGCCACCGGACCUCUCCCCAGGAACACCUAGUGGACACAUCUUGGAGCCUGUCACGGGGUACCUGUGGGCCUGGGUCUGUCUGUAGAAACGGACAAAAUUAUAUCUCACAAGGGUGCGCU
This 5430-nucleotide long non-coding RNA is filed under the name Sus scrofa (pig). Its description in RNAcentral is "lncRNA (ENSSSCG00005013055.1)". The record is from RNAcentral. Lineage: Eukaryota; Metazoa; Chordata; Mammalia; Artiodactyla; Suidae.